CGAUAGCGUCUAUUUAAGUUGCUGCAGUUAAAAAGCUCGUCGUUGGAUUUCGGGUGGGAAUGGCCGGUCCGCCGUUUCGGUGUGCACUUGCUACGCCCACCUUGCUGCCGGGGACGUGCUCUUGAGUUCACGCUCGGGACACGGAGUCGGCGAGGUUACUUUGAGUAAAUUAGAGUGUUCAAAGCAGGCCUACGCUCUGAAUACAUUAGCAUGGAAUAACACGAUAGGACUCUGGCCUAUCUUGUUGGUCUGUAGGACCGGAGUAAUGAUUAAGAGGGACAGUCGGGGGCAUUCGUAUUUCAUUGUCAGAGGUGAAAUUCUUGGAUUUAUGAAAGACGAACUACUGCGAAAGCAUUUGCCAAGGAUGUUUUCAUUAA
This 377-nucleotide ribosomal RNA is filed under the name uncultured eukaryote. RNAcentral describes it as "partial 18S ribosomal RNA". It matches the Rfam family "Eukaryotic small subunit ribosomal RNA", at positions 592 to 976 of the family's 1831-position model. The record is from RNAcentral.